CUGUGUGUAACUAGGCAGUCAGACUGUGGGGGAUAAGCUCCAUAGUCGAAAGGGAAACAGCCCAGACCGCCAGCUAAGGUCCCAAAAUCAACACUAAGUGAUAAAGGAGGUGGGAUUGCCCAGACAACCAGGAGGUUUGCUUAGAAGCAGCCAUCCUCAAAGGAGUGCGUAAUAGCCCACUGGUCGAGCGAUCCUGCGCCGAAAAUGAACGGGGCUAAGUGUUGUACCGAAGCUGCGGAUUUAUUUAUAAAUGGUAGGGGAGCGUUCUAUGUGGGGUGAAGCGUUAGCGUAAGCGGGCGUGGACUGCAUAGAAGUGAGAAUGUCGGCUUGAGUAGCGAAAACAUGGGUGAGAAUCCCAUGCCCCGAAACCCUAAGGGUUCCUCCGGCAGGCUCGUCCGCGGAGGGUUAGUCUGGUCCUAAGGUCAGGCCGAAAGGCGUAGUCGAUGGAUAACAGGUCAACAUUCCUGUACCAGUUAUGUUUUGGGAAGGGGGACGGAGAAGGCUAGCCAAUCCAGAUGUUGGUUACUGGUUCAAGCGUUCAAGGCUUUGAGGAACGGAGAAAACGUUCUGAGCUGAGGCGUGAGUACGAGCUGCUACGGCAGCGAAGUUGGUGAUGUCAUGCUUCCAAGAAAAUCCCUAUACCCGUUAAGGCAUAACUGCCAGUACCCGAAACCGACACAGGUGGGGUGGUAGAGAAUACCGAGGGGCGCGAGAUAACUCUCUCUAAGGAACUCGGCAAAAUGGUCCCGUAACUUCGGGAGAAGGGAUGCCAGCGCAAGCUGGUCGCAGUGAAGAGGCCCAGGCGACUGUUUACCAAAAACACAGGUCUCCGCUAAGUCGCAAGACGAUGUAUGGGGGCUGACACCUGCCCAGUGCCGGAAGGUUAAGGAAGCUGGUUAGCUUUUAGUGAAGCUGGCGACUGAAGCCCCGGUGAACGGCGGCCGUAACUAUAACGGUCCUAAGGUAGCGAAAUUCCUUGUCGGGUAAGUUCCGACCCGCACGAAAGGUGUAACGAUCUGGGCGCUGUCUCGGAGAGAGGCUCGGCGAAAUAGAAUUGUCUGUGAAGAUGCGGACUACAUACACCCGGACAGAAAGACCCUAUGAAGCUUUACUGCAGGUUGGUAUUGUUCUCGGGCUCUGAAUGCGCAGGAUAGGUGGGAGACAUUGAUGUAGUGCUUUUGGGUGCUACUGAGUCAACGGUGAGAUACCACUCUUUCAGAGCUAGAGAUCUAACGUUUACCCGUUAUCCGGGAAACGGACAGUAUCUGCUGGGCAGUUUGACUGGGGCGGUCGCCUCCUAAAAGGUAACGGAGGCG
This 1316-nucleotide ribosomal RNA is filed under the name marine metagenome. RNAcentral's name for it is "bacterial LSU rRNA". It matches the Rfam family "Bacterial large subunit ribosomal RNA", at positions 966 to 2308 of the family's 2925-position model. The record is from RNAcentral.